GACGAACGCUGGCGGCGUGCUUAACACAUGCAAGUCGAACGGAAAGGCCCGGCUUUUGUGGGUUGCUCGAUUGGCGAACGGGUGAGUAACACGUGAGUAACCUGCCCUUAACUUUGUGAUAACUUCAGGAAACUGGGGCUAAUACCGGGUAGGAUCUCCUGCUGCAUGGUGUGGGUUGGAAAGUUUCGGCGGUUGGGGAUGGACUCGCGGCUUAUGAGCUUGUUGGUGGGGUAGUGGCUUACCAAGCUUUUGACGGGUAGCCGGCCUGAGAGGGUGACCAGCCACAUUGGGACUGAGAUACGGCACAGAAUCCUACGGGAGGCAGCAGUGGGGAAUAUUGCACAAUGGGCGGAAGCCUGAUGCAGCAACGCCGCGUGCGGGAUGCCGGCCUUCGGGUUGUAAACCGAUUUCGAAUGUGACGAAGCGUGAGUGACGGUAAUGGGUAAAGAAGCCACGGCUAACUACGUG
RNAcentral lists this ribosomal RNA (468 nucleotides) under uncultured bacterium. RNAcentral's name for it is "partial 16S ribosomal RNA". It matches the Rfam family "Bacterial small subunit ribosomal RNA", at positions 28 to 507 of the family's 1533-position model. The record is from RNAcentral.